This 757-nucleotide ribosomal RNA is filed under the name Verodes interruptus. Its description in RNAcentral is "partial 16S ribosomal RNA". The stretch from base 1 to 567 matches the Rfam family "Bacterial large subunit ribosomal RNA", at positions 1846 to 2925 of the family's 2925-position model. The record is from RNAcentral. Lineage: Eukaryota; Metazoa; Arthropoda; Insecta; Coleoptera; Zopheridae.
UUUGAAGUCCAACCUGCCCAAUGAUGAUUAUUGAAUGGCCGCAGUAUUUUGACUGUGCAAAGGUAGCAUAAUCAUUAGUUUUUUAAUUAAAAGCUGGAAUGAACGGUUUGAUGAAAAAAGAUCUGUCUCAAGGUUAUUGGUAUAGAAAUUUAUUUUUAAGUUAAAAAGCUUAAAUAUUUUAAAAAGACGAGAAGACCCUAUAGAGUUUUAUAUUUAUUUAAUAAAAUUUUAUUUUGGAUUUUUAUACAUUUUUAUUUAGAAAAUAUUUAGUUGGGGUGAUGUAAAAAUUUAAUUAACUUUUUAAUAAUAAAAACAUUAAUUAAUGAAUAAAUGAUCCUUUUAUAUGGAUUAAUAGAAUAAAUUACCUUAGGGAUAACAGCGUAAUUUUUUUUGAGAGUUCUUAUCGAAAAGAAAGAUUGCGACCUCGAUGUUGGAUUAAAAUUAAUUUUUGGUGCAGAAGCUGGAAAAUUAGGUCUGUUCGACCUUUAAAAUUUUACAUGAUCUGAGUUUAAACCGGCGUGAGCCAGGUUGGUUUCUAUCUUUUAAUAAAUUAAAUGUUUUAGUACGAAAGGACCAAGCAUUAAAAUUAUAUUUUAUUUUUUGAAUUAUAUUGUUAUUUUGGCAGAUUAGUGCAAUAAAUUUAGAAUUUAUAUAUGUAGGUAUAUUACAAAUAACAUUGUUUUUUCAAGAUUUAUUUAUAAUUUUUUUAUCAAUAAUUAUUUUAAUUAUUUGUGUAUUAGUUGGGGUAGCUUUUUUA